Molecule: ribosomal RNA, 378 nt
Filed under: Rhodomonas sp. RCC5415
Lineage: Eukaryota; Cryptophyceae; Pyrenomonadales; Pyrenomonadaceae
Description: SSU rRNA
Rfam family: Eukaryotic small subunit ribosomal RNA
Source: RNAcentral
CCUUUCUGCCUGGGGACUCCGUCACACUUAACUGUGGGGCGGUUGGACGCAGGCCGUUUACUUUGAAAAAAUUAGAGUGUUCAAAGCAGGCCUACGCUUGAAUACAUUAACAUGGAAUAAUGGAAUAGGACUUUGGUGCUAUUUUGUUGGUUUAUGGGACCGAAGUAAUGAUUAACAGGGACAGUUGGGGCCGUUUAUAUUUCGUUGUCAGAGGUGAAAUUCUUGGAUUUACGAAAGAUAAACUUCUGCGAAAGCAUUCGGCAAGGAUGUUUUCAUUGAUCAAGAACGAAAGUUAGGGGAUCGAAGACGAUCAGAUACCGUCGUAGUCUUAACCAUAAACUAUGCCGACUAGGGAUCAGUGGAUGUCAAUUUGCGACU